AUUUUCGAAAAAUUUUUUUUUUUACGAAUAUAAAAAUUUUUUUUUUUUUCGAAAAUAAGAAAAAACGAUUUUUAAAUUAUUUUUUUCGAAAAUACAAAAUUAUAUUUUUUUUUGAAAAAAAAACUGAUAAUGUUUUAUUAAAAAAAAAGAAUUUUGAAAAAAAAAGUUUCAAAAAAAUAAGUGAUUUUUUCAAAAAAAAUAAAAUU
RNAcentral lists this long non-coding RNA (206 nucleotides) under Lathyrus oleraceus (garden pea). RNAcentral describes it as "Pisum sativum (pea) long non-coding RNA (PSAT_LNC006603)". The record is from RNAcentral. Lineage: Eukaryota; Viridiplantae; Streptophyta; Magnoliopsida; Fabales; Fabaceae.